RNAcentral lists this transfer RNA (73 nucleotides) under Acidimicrobiia bacterium. RNAcentral describes it as "tRNA-Thr". It matches the Rfam family "tRNA". From Rfam's summary of the family: Transfer RNA (tRNA) molecules are approximately 80 nucleotides in length. Lineage: Bacteria; Bacillati; Actinomycetota; Acidimicrobiia. The record is from RNAcentral. RNAcentral also lists the same sequence under 1 other name.
GCUGGCGUAGCUCAGUCGGCAGAGCAGCUGAUUUGUAAUCAGCAGGUCAAGGGUUCGAUUCCCUUCGCCAGCU